AGAACGCUCGUAGUCGGAUUUCGGGGCGGUCCGACCGGUCUGCCGAUGGGUACGCACUGGUCGGAGCGUCCUUUUCGCCGGAGACCGUGCCUACUCUUAACUGAGCGGGGGCGGGAGACGGCACUUUUACUUUGAAAAAAUCAGAGUGUUUCAAGCAUGCAGCUCGCUCUUGCAUGGAUUAGCAUGGGAUAAUGAAAUAGGACUUUGGUGCUAUUUUGUUGGUUUCGAACACCGAAGUAAUGAUGAGAAGGGACAGUCAGGGGCACUCGUAUUCCGCCGAGAGAGGUGAAAUUCUCAGACCAGCGGAAGACGAACCACUGCGAAAGCAUUUGCCAGGGAUGUUUUCACUGAUCAAGAACGAAAGUUAGGGGAUCGAAGACGAUCAGAUACCGUCGUAGUCUUAACCAUAAACAAUGCCGACUAGGGAUUGGAGGAUGUUCACUGAUUGACUCCUUCAGCACCUUACGGGAAACUAAAGUCUUUGGGUUCCGGGGGGAGUAUGGUCGCAAGGCUGAAACUUAAGGGAAUUGACGGAAGGGCACCACCAGGUGUGGAGCCUGCGGGCUUAAUUUGACUCAACACGGGGGAAACUUACCA
This 597-nucleotide ribosomal RNA is filed under the name uncultured marine eukaryote. RNAcentral's name for it is "SSU rRNA". It matches the Rfam family "Eukaryotic small subunit ribosomal RNA", at positions 621 to 1220 of the family's 1831-position model. The record is from RNAcentral.